AUACGUAGGGUGCGAGCGUUGUCCGGAAUUACUGGGCGUAAAGAGCUCGUAGGUGGUUUGUCGCGUCGUCUGUGAAAUUCCGGGGCUUAACUCCGGGCGUGCAGGCGAUACGGGCAUGACUUGAGUACUGUAGGGGAGACUGGAAUUCCUGGUGUAGCGGUGAAAUGCGCAGAUAUCAGGAGGAACACCGGUGGCGAAGGCGGGUCUCUGGGCAGUAACUGACGCGGAGGAGCGAAAGCAUGGGUAGCGAACAGGAUUAGAGACCCUGGUAGUCCAUGCGGUAAACGGUGGGCGCUAGGUGUAGGGGUCUUCCACGACUUCUGUGCCGUAGCUAACGCAUUAAGCGCCCCGCCUGGGGAGUACGGCCGCAAGGCUAAAACUCAAAUGAAUUGACGGGG
Molecule: ribosomal RNA, 398 nt
Filed under: uncultured bacterium
Lineage: Bacteria
Description: partial 16S ribosomal RNA
Rfam family: Bacterial small subunit ribosomal RNA
Source: RNAcentral